GAUGAACGCUGGCGGCGUGCUUAACACAUGCAAGUCGAACGGUAAGGCCCUUCGGGGUACACGAGUGGCGAACGGGUGAGUAACACGUGGGUGAUCUGCCCUGCACUUCGGGAUAAGCCUGGGAAACUGGGUCUAAUACCGGAUAGGACUCCUGGCUUCAUGGUUGGGGGUGGAAAGCUUUUGCGGUGUGGGAUGGGCCCGCGGCCUAUCAGCUUGUUGGUGGGGUGAUGGCCUACCAAGGCGACGACGGGUAGCCGGCCUGCGAGGGUGACCGGUCACACUGGGACUGAGAUACGGCCCAGACUCCUACGGGAGGCAGCAGUGGGGAAUAUUGCACAAUGGGCGCAAGCCUGAUGCAGCGACGCCGCGUGAGGGAUGACGGCCUUCGGGUUGUAAACCUCUUUCAGCUAUGACGAAGCGCAAGUGACGGUAGUAGCAGAAGAAGGACCGGCCAACUACGUGCCAGCCGCCGCGGUAA
RNAcentral lists this ribosomal RNA (478 nucleotides) under uncultured bacterium. RNAcentral describes it as "partial 16S ribosomal RNA". It matches the Rfam family "Bacterial small subunit ribosomal RNA", at positions 28 to 523 of the family's 1533-position model. The record is from RNAcentral.